AUUGAACGCUGGCGGCAUGCCUUACACAUGCAAGUCGAACGGUAACAGGUCUUCGGAUGCUGACGAGUGGCGAACGGGUGAGUAAUACAUCGGAACGUGCCCGAUCGCUGGGGCUAACGAAGCGAAAGCUUUGCUAAUACCGCAUAAUAUCUACGGAUGAAAGCAGGGGACCGCAAGGCCUUGCGCGAACGGAGCGGCCGAUGGCAGCUUAGGUAGUUGGUGGGAUAAAAGCUUACCAAGCCGACGAUCUGUAGCUGGUCUGAGAGGACGACCAGCCACACUGGGACUGAGAAACGGCCCAGACUCCUACGGGGGGCAGCAGUGGGGAAUUUUGGACAAUGGGCGAAAGCCUGAUCCAGCCAUGCCGCGUGCAGGAUGAAGGCCUUCGGGUUGUAAACUGCUUUUGUACGGAACGAAAAGACUCUUUCUAAUAAAGAGGGUCCAUGACGGUACCGUAAGAAUAAGCACCGGCUAACUACGUGCCAGCAGCCGCCGUAA
This 498-nucleotide ribosomal RNA is filed under the name uncultured bacterium. Its description in RNAcentral is "partial 16S ribosomal RNA". It matches the Rfam family "Bacterial small subunit ribosomal RNA", at positions 30 to 523 of the family's 1533-position model. The record is from RNAcentral.